GACGAACGCUGGCGGCGUGCUUAACACAUGCAAGUCGAACGGAAAGGCCCUGCUUGCAGGGUACUCGAGUGGCGAACGGGUGAGUAACACGUGGGUGAUCUGCCCUGCACUUCGGGAUAAGCCUGGGAAACUGGGUCUAAUACCGGAUAGGAGCCAUUUUUAGUGUGAUGGUUGGAAAGUUUUUUCGGUGUAGGAUGAGCUCGCGGCCUAUCAGCUUGUUGGUGGGGUAAUGGCCUACCAAGGCGGCGACGGGUAGCCGGCCUGAGAGGGUGGACGGCCACAUUGGGACUGAGAUACGGCCCAGACUCCUACGGGAGGCAGCAGGGGGGAAUAUUGCACAAUGGGCGCAAGCCUGAUGCAGCGACGCCGCGUGGGGGAUGACGGCCUUCGGGUUGUAAACUCCUUUCGCUGGGGACGAAGCUUUUUGUGACGGUACCUAGAUAAGAAGCACCGGCUAACUACGUG
RNAcentral lists this ribosomal RNA (465 nucleotides) under uncultured bacterium. Its description in RNAcentral is "partial 16S ribosomal RNA". It matches the Rfam family "Bacterial small subunit ribosomal RNA", at positions 28 to 507 of the family's 1533-position model. The record is from RNAcentral.